AGCAAGAUGUAAAUACUGUAGCCAACCUGCUUUACAGCCCCGUAACAGAAGGCUGUAAUGAUUUUUCUUAAAAUUUCACUAAGAGAACCAGUUUGGACUCCUGCAUACAUAAAAAGCCUCAGAUUUUUCUGGUGUAGCCAGGUGAUUGGCCUCACCGUGGUGUCACCACGUACUGUGUGGGCUCUGCACUGCUCCAGGUCUGCCCAUCCCCACCUGCUCCUUCUGCUCCCUUAACCUGGAGAAGGAUGCCUAGCACUGGAAGAAUUGUCUCUACUACCUUUUUUGGCUGGACUCCAGGUGUGGAUGACAAUUUCAAGACUGACAAGUACAGGAAUGAAGUUGUCUAUUCCUAGAACAGGUUCAGUGGGCAGCAGCACUGAUUGUUUCCCAUGUUGCCCUGCCAGCAUUUCUCAAACCUGACCUCAGGGAGCUGCUCCUGAGAGUGAGGAGUUCA
This is a long non-coding RNA of Oxyura jamaicensis (ruddy duck), 454 nucleotides long. RefSeq lists it as uncharacterized. The transcript is spliced from 3 exons. The record is from RefSeq and is a predicted model, not a curated record. Lineage: Eukaryota; Metazoa; Chordata; Aves; Anseriformes; Anatidae.